RNAcentral lists this ribosomal RNA (498 nucleotides) under uncultured bacterium. RNAcentral's name for it is "bacterial SSU rRNA". It matches the Rfam family "Bacterial small subunit ribosomal RNA", at positions 66 to 543 of the family's 1533-position model. The record is from RNAcentral.
ACGCGAAAGCCCCCUUCGGGGGGCAAGUAGAGUGGCGCACGGGUGAGUAACACGUAGGUAAUCUACCUUUGGAUGGGGAAUAACAACCGGAAACGGUUGCUAAUACCGCAUAAUGCAGCGGCACCUAAUGGUGACAGUUGUUAAAGCGGGGGAUCGCAAGACCUCGCGUCUGAAGAGGAGCCUGCGGCGGAUUAGCUAGUUGGUAAGGUAACGGCUUACCAAGGCUAUGAUCCGUAGCCGGCCUGAGAGGGCGGUCGGCCACACUGACACUGACAUACGGGUCAGACUCCUACGGGAGGCAGCAGUCGGGAAUUUUGGGCAAUGGGCGAAAGCCUGACCCAGCAGCGCCGCGUGAAGGAUGAAAUCCUUCGGGAUGUAAACUUCGCAAGAACAGGAAGAAUAAGUCGGUGACGAUACCACCGACGAUGACGGUACUGUUUGUAAGCUCCGGCUAACUCCGUGCCAGCAGCCGCGGUAAUACGGGGGGAGCAAGCGUUG